Molecule: ribosomal RNA, 428 nt
Filed under: uncultured bacterium
Lineage: Bacteria
Description: bacterial SSU rRNA
Rfam family: Bacterial small subunit ribosomal RNA
Source: RNAcentral
GACGAACGCUGGCGGCGUGCUUAACACAUGCAAGUCGAGCGGUAAGGCCCUUUCGGGGGUACACGAGCGGCGAACGGGUGAGUAACACGUGGGUGACCUGCCCUCAGCUCUGGGAUAAGCCUGGGAAACUGGGUCUAAUACUGGAUAUGACUCCACGGUGCAUGUCGUGGGGUGGAAAGCCUUGUGCGGCUGAGGAUGGGCCCGCGGCCUAUCAGCUUGUUGGUGGGGNGAUGGCCUACCAAGGCGACGACGGGUAGCUGGUCUGAGAGGAUGGCCAGCCACAUUGGGACUGAGACACGGCCCAGACUCCUACGGGAGGCAGCAGUGGGGAAUAUUGCGCAAUGGACGAAAGUCUGACGCAGCGACGCCGCGUGUGGGAUGACGGUCUUCGGAUUGUAAACCACUGUCGGGAGGGACGAAUACGCCGC